GAUGAACGCUGGCGGCGUGCCUAAUACAUGCAAGUCGAGCGAACGGACGAGAAGCUUGCUUCUCUGAUGUUAGCGGCGGACGGGUGAGUAACACGUGGAUAACCUACCUAUAAGACUGGGAUAACUUCGGGAAACCGUAGCUAAUACCGGAUAAUAUUUUGAACCGCAUGGUUCAAAAGUGAAAGACGGUCUUGCUGUCACUUAUAGAUGGAUCCGCGCUGCAUUAGCUAGUUGGUAAGGUAACGGCUUACCAAGGCAACGAUGCAUAGCCGACCUGAGAGGGUGAUCAGCCACACUGGAACUGAGACACGGUCCAGACUCCUACGGGAGGCAGCAGUAGGGAAUCUUCCGCAAUGGGCGAAAGCCUGACGGAGCAACGCCGCGUGAGUGAUGAAGGUCUUCGGAUCGUAAAACUCUGUUAUUAGGGAAGAAAAUAUGUGUAAGUAACUGUGCACAUCUUGACGGUUCCUAAUCAGAAAGCCACGGCUAACUACGUG
RNAcentral lists this ribosomal RNA (497 nucleotides) under uncultured bacterium. RNAcentral's name for it is "partial 16S ribosomal RNA". It matches the Rfam family "Bacterial small subunit ribosomal RNA", at positions 28 to 507 of the family's 1533-position model. The record is from RNAcentral.